UACGGAGGGUGCAAACUUUGCUCGGAAUCAUUGGGCGUAAAGCGCACGUAGGCGGCCCGGUAAGUCGGAUGUGAAAGCCCUCGGCUCAACUGAGGAAGUGCAUUCGAAACUGCUGGACUUGAGUACGGGAGAGGGAUGCGGAAUUCCCGGUGUAGAAGUGAAAUUCGUAGAUAUCGGGAGGAACACCAGUGGCGAAGGCGGCAUCCUGGACCGAUACUGACGCUGAGGUGCGAAAGCGUGGGGAGCAAACAGG
RNAcentral lists this ribosomal RNA (253 nucleotides) under uncultured bacterium. RNAcentral describes it as "partial 16S ribosomal RNA". It matches the Rfam family "Bacterial small subunit ribosomal RNA", at positions 524 to 776 of the family's 1533-position model. The record is from RNAcentral.